GGGAUUGCCUCAGUAACGGCGAGUGAAGCGGCAACAGCUCAAAUUUGAAAUCUGGCUCCUUCGGGGUCCGAAUUGUAAUUUGUAGAGAGUGCUUCGGGCGAGACCUCGGUCUAAGUCCAUUGGAACAUGGUGUCAUAGAGGGUGAGAAUCCCGUAUGCGACCGUGGCUCGAGCCCAUGUGAAGCCUCUUCGACGAGUCGAGUUGUUUGGGAAUGCAGCUCAAAACGGGUGGUAAAUUUCAUCUAAAGCUAAAUACUGGCUGGAGACCGAUAGCGCACAAGUAGAGUGAUCGAAAGAUGAAAAGCACUUUGGAAAGAGAGUCAAACAGUACGUGAAAUUGUUGAAAGGGAAGCGCUUGCAACCAGACCUGCCCGUAGGCGAUCAGCCGCUGUUCUCAGCGGUGCACUCGCUCUGCGAUCAGGCCAGCAUCGGUUUCGGCGGUCGGAUAAAGGCCUUGGGAAUGUAGCUUCCCUUCGGGGGAGUCUUAUAGCCCUCGGUGCAAUGCGGCCAGCCGGGACCGAGGACCGCGCUUCGGCUAGGAUGCUGGCGUAAUGGUUGUAAGCGACCCGUCUUGAAACACGGACCAAGGAGUCUAACAUCUAUGCGAGUGUUUGGGUGUCAAACCCAUACGCGGAAUGAAAGUGAACGGAGGUGAGAACCCUUAAGGGCGCAUCAUCGACCGAUCCAGAUGUCUUCGGAUGGAUUUGAGUAUGAGCAUAGCUGUUGGGACCCGAAAGAUGGUGAACUAUGCCUGAAUAGGGUGAAGCCAGAGGAAACUCUGGUGGAGGCUCGCAGCGGUUCUGACGUGCAAAUCGAUCGUCAAAUUUGGGUAUAGGGGCGAAAGACUAAUCG
This 851-nucleotide ribosomal RNA is filed under the name Xanthoparmelia aff. coloradoensis. Its description in RNAcentral is "eukaryotic LSU rRNA". It matches the Rfam family "Eukaryotic large subunit ribosomal RNA", at positions 71 to 937 of the family's 3401-position model. The record is from RNAcentral. Lineage: Eukaryota; Fungi; Ascomycota; Lecanoromycetes; Lecanorales; Parmeliaceae.